This 1561-nucleotide small RNA is filed under the name Pyricularia oryzae. RNAcentral's name for it is "Magnaporthe oryzae sRNA M_BR32_EuGene_00142471". Lineage: Eukaryota; Fungi; Ascomycota; Sordariomycetes; Magnaporthales; Pyriculariaceae. The record is from RNAcentral.
AUUUAUUUUGUAUUUAAUCGCGCUCCAACCGAUAAUUUAAAUAAAACGCUAUUGUUAAAUUUGUUAAUAAAAGUUCGGGGAAAUAUUUCUAUAACGCCUUCGCAGCCACCGGAACAUAAUAAAACUUAUUAUUGCUUGGGUGUUUUGCCGUAUAAAUAUUACGGCGCUAAUUUAUUGCAAGCCUUUUAAUUGUAAAAACGCAUAGGGAAACUGGGUAUUUUGUUUUAAAUAUAAAUGUCGCGAUAAGAUUGCUGGAUGUAAUGAAAGAUGGAAGUUGGAAACUAUUUAACUGUACUACUGCCUUUGUAAAUUUUGUUUUUUAAAGAGAAUAUAAAAGCAUUUUAUUAGGAAAGAAAAACAGUAAAAUUACAAAUGAAAAUAAAAAUUGGGAGAUUAAACGGGUCCAAAUAUCCAUUUACGCCGGGGAUAAAAAUAUAAAUAAUUAAUACCCGCAUAAAUUUCGGCUGGAUAAUGUCCAAUUUUAACAACUCUUUACCGAAUUAAAUAUAUUGUUACGGCCAUUUUAAUUGCAAUAUACGUUACCACCAGUCGCAGUUGUUAAUAUAACAGUUAUACGUAUCUUUAUAUCGCUAUUUAGCCGAAAGAGAAACAGUCGAGAAAAAAAAAAAAAGACAAAAAACCGAAUUUCUGCGCCGUUCAACUUUUAACAUCUGAAAUAUUUAAAAAAGGAAGACGUGCCAGGUUUGGAAAAGGUGAAAAAAGAUGUUAUAAUUUAGGCGCUCCAUUACGCAUACCACUGCCAUUAAAUGGUUUGUUAAUUAUAAAUUAGAUUUGUUAGUUAAAUAGCCUUUUUAUAUAAACAGUUUUCACACCUCGCGGAAAAUAUUAAAGGUAUGGUAGCGUUUUCAGCAAUUAUAACGACCGGGAUAAUAUUAGUAACGUCCAUUGGGUCCAGGGAAGCCGUCGCGACACCCACCCCCUGCCCACCGACGGAGGUAAAGGCAUUUUUACCACCGUUAAUAUUAUAUUUAUUUGACGGGGAGCCUAUUACUAUUACAGGGGCAAAGUUACGGGAUUGUAAUAUAACGUUACAGGUUUUGAAAAAAGCUGCCCCGCCGCAAUUUGGGGGAGGUUACCUCCCAAAAGACUUUGCUUUGAAAGAGGAUAUAAUUUUUAAGUUUCCCCUAACAGGUAAAAUUUUGCUGCGACCAUUUAAUAUGGAUUUAAAAACGUUUGGACAAUUGGAUGGUUUACAAUCUGUGGUUCGUUACCCAGUUAUUCUUUAAAAUACCGGGUUAUUUGGCAAUUUGGACAAGAGUAGCUGGGCGGAUAACGUCGACUAUAUUUAUAAAUAUGGAGCAAAAGCCAAUUGUAAUUACCCGUGGUACCGUCCAUUUUUCGACGAACCCCUAUAAACUUUAAUGGCCUGAACGAAAGGUGUUUAUAUAAAAAGGUCGCUUUAAAUUUAACUAUAAUAAGAAAAAAAUCAGCUGUGGACUUUGUGUAAUUUAAAAAUUUAGCAAAGGCAGGAGCUGUAAAGGUAUAUUAACCUUAUAUAUUAUAUGCUAAUGCGGGAUUGUUAAACAUAUUGCAAAUAAUU